Molecule: ribosomal RNA, 373 nt
Filed under: Wolbachia endosymbiont of Culex quinquefasciatus
Lineage: Bacteria; Pseudomonadati; Pseudomonadota; Alphaproteobacteria; Rickettsiales; Anaplasmataceae
Also listed under: 1 other name
Description: bacterial SSU rRNA
Rfam family: Bacterial small subunit ribosomal RNA
Source: RNAcentral
GCCGGAUUUUACACAAGUGUUGCAUGGCUGUCGUCAGCUCGUGUCGUGAGAUGUUGGGUUAAGUCCCGCAACGAGCGCAACCCUCAUCCUUAGUUGCCAUCAGGUAAUGCUGAGUACUUUAAGGAAACUGCCAGUGAUAAGCUGGAGGAAGGUGGGGAUGAUGUCAAGUCAUCAUGGCCUUUAUGGAGUGGGCUACACACGUGCUACAAUGGUGUCUACAAUGGGCUGCAAGGUGCGCAAGCCUAAGCUAAUCCCUAAAAGACAUCUCAGUUCGGAUUGUACUCUGCAACUCGAGUACAUGAAGUUGGAAUCGCUAGUAAUCGUGGAUCAGCAUGCCACGGUGAAUACGUUCUCGGGUCUUGUACACACUGCC